GCAUCAAGCUGGAGAAGACCAUUUCCUUGAUAGAGCGCUCAUAUAUCUUAGUCGUGAAUAUCAUACGCAUAUGCCACCAUUCGAUCUGUACACCUUACUUGUUUGUUGGGAUUAAUGAGUUCUCCUUCUCCUUAUCAAUGGCAGCAUUGGCAGCAGCAUGAUCCUCAUCCAGGAACAAAUCCCACUGUCCUUCCCACUUGAUAAAGAACUCUGUAUCUUCAAAAUAUUUCACUCUAUGCACAUCCCCAGCUUGAGUAAACAAGUAAUCCCCAAUACCCAAAUCAUAUCUCUCCCCUUUACUCAAAUUCCAAACCCUUUUACUACCUUUCAACACCACAAGAUCAUGCCCGAAUGUAUGAUGAUGCGCCGGCUCGACGCUCCCCGCAGUGAAACGCACAAAUGCUGAAGUAGGACUUUCCCUCACUAUAGAAAUUGAACCACCAGGCAUUAUAUCCACAGCAUUGAACUCUCUAGACUUCACCAAUGAACAAAGAUGGCAAUCACUAGAGGAUUCCACUGGUUUAGGAGUACCGAUUUUGUUCAUUUCGUGGAUUGAAUUUUCUAAAAAUUGGUCGAUCUCGUCGGGCCAUGGGUUAGAUCCAGAAGCGGGGCAAGGAGACUUAAACGGUGUUUCCAGAAACGUCUUGAGAACGUCGGAAGCUACCUCCGGCGUGGUAUUCAUACCGGAAACAGCGAGAACGUUGCAAUUAUUGAUGGAACGAGCAUUCCGGGCUUCAUCCGUGUUAAGACACGUGGCGGCAUAGACACCGGGGAACUUGUUAGCGAAAAUAGCGACUCCAACGCCGGUACCACAUGCGAGGAGUCCUCGAGUUUCAACGGCGGGGUCAUCAGCGGCUUGACUAACUCGGCGGCCGAUUUCUUCGCCGACAGAGUAGUAUUUGUCUGUUCCGAGGUCUUCAACUUGGAUGUUUAGUGCACGGAGUUGAGAGACUAAGACGUCUUUGAGGUUGCAGCCGAAGGAAUCGGCGCCGGCGAUGAUUUUCAAGGGUCGUUUAGUGGAUUGUUGAGCCAUGAUAUGAGACUUGCG
RNAcentral lists this unclassified non-coding RNA (1048 nucleotides) under Hevea brasiliensis (rubber tree). Lineage: Eukaryota; Viridiplantae; Streptophyta; Magnoliopsida; Malpighiales; Euphorbiaceae. The record is from RNAcentral.